RNAcentral lists this long non-coding RNA (2807 nucleotides) under Capsicum annuum. RNAcentral's name for it is "long non-coding RNA (CANN_LNC012276)". Lineage: Eukaryota; Viridiplantae; Streptophyta; Magnoliopsida; Solanales; Solanaceae. The record is from RNAcentral.
GUAAAUAAUUAGUACAAAUUACUUCCUCCGUCUCAGUUUAUGUAGAGCACAGUUCGAAUAUCGAGAGUCAAACCGAGUAGCACAGUUUGAGUUCAAAUAUUGAGAUUAUAUCGAGAGUCAAAUCUAGUAGUACAGUUUGAACAUCGAGAGUCAAACCUAGUGGCACAAUUCGAAUGUCGAGUGUCAAAUCUAGUAGCACAAUUCGAAUAUCAAGAGUCAAACCUAGUAACACAGUUUAAAAAUCGAGAGUCAAACCUAGUACCAUAUCUUGAAUAUCGAGAGUCAAAUCUUAUCAAGAGUCGUAAUACACUUCGAAUAUCGAGAGUCAAAUCUAGUAGCACAGUUCGAAUAUCGAUAGUCAAAUCUAGUAGUACAGUUCGAAUAUCGAGAGUCAAACCUAGAACUAUCGAGAGUCAAAUCUAGCAGCACAGUUUGAAUAUCUAGAGUCAAACCUAGUAGCACAGUUCGAAUGUCGAGAGUCAAAUCUAGUAGCACAAUUCGAAUAUCGAGAGUCAAACCUAGUAAUACACUUCGAAUAUCGAGAGUCAAACCUAGUAGCACAGUUCGAAUAUCGAGAGUCAAACCUAGUAGCACAGUUUAAAUAUCAAGAGUCAAACCUAGUAGCACAGUUCGAAUGUCGAGAGUCAAAUCUAAUAGCACAAUUCGAAUAUUGAGAGUCAAAACCUAGUAGCACAGUUCAAAUAUCGAGAGUCAAACCUAGAACUAUCGAGAGUCAAAUCUAGCAGCACAGUUUGAAUAUCUAGAGUCAAACCUAGUAGCACAGUUCGAAUGUCGAGAGUCAAAUCUAGUAGCACAAUUCGAAUAUCGAGAGUCAAACCUAGUAAUACACUUCGAAUAUCGAGAGUCAAACCUAGUAGCACAGUUCGAAUAUCGAGAGUCAAACCUAGUAGCACAGUUUAAAUAUCAAGAGUCAAACCUAGUAGCACAGUUCGAAUGUCGAGAGUCAAAUCUAAUAGCACAAUUCGAAUAUUGAGAGUCAAAACCUAGUAGCACAGUUCAAAUGUCGAGAGUCAAAUCUAGUAGCACAGUUCGAAUGUCGAGAGUCAAAUCUAAUAGCACAGUUCGAAUAUCGAGAGUCAAAACCUUUUAGUUUUAACUGAAAAAUUUGGAUCUAGAGUUUUUGAGUUUUUCUAAAGAUUAUAAAAACAUAAAAAUGUUCGCUUUUACUUGUCAUAUUUUAAUUUGACACACCUAUUCAAAAAAAAUAAUUAAUAACAUGACUAUUUUAUCAUUAUAUCUCUAUUAAAUAACGUUUACAUUGUGUUUUAAAAUUAAUUUAAAGCAAAACAAUUAAAGCUGCGAUUAAAAUAGAAAAAAGAAUUAUUUUUUCUUGAUAUGUCAAAAAUGACAAGUAAAAGUAGAAAUCUAAUUAAAAAUUAUCGACAAGUAAAAAUGAACGAAGGGAAUAUAAGUCAUAAUAAAUGACAUUUCAAAAUAUCUAGAGGAGAUAAAAGAAUUACGACCAAAGAUUGAAUCUCAAAAUCCAAACAAUGUCACGUAAAUUAGAGGGGAGAGAGUGUUUUGUUUUUAAAAUAUGAGAUUUGACAUUUUCGUAGGAAGUAUUCGAUUCAACUAUUUAUUUAUACAGUGUGUGAAGUCUAAGUGAUGAGACAUGCCUAUGAAUUAGUUCCAAGAAAGCGGCUAUUCACGUCAGGAAUAGAGUUCGUUAAAAAUGUACUUGCUUUUUUUUUGUCAUCAAGAUUAGGUCGGUGUGAAGUGUAUCGUUUAUCUAGCCUAUGCUUAAAAAGCCGACAUAGACGAAAAUAUAAUGGUAUAAAAAAUGAAAAAUAUUCAAAUUUACUCUUGAAAUAUUCGAUUUGUCUUAUAUUUAUCGGGAUAAUACUCACAAAAAUAUCUUAACUUUGACCGAAUUUUCAAUUGCGCAUACUGAACUGUGCGGGGAUUUAUUACCCCUAAAAAAAAAUUUUUUUGUAUUUUAAUGGCAUAUAUCUGCCCACUUGGACACAUGUAAAUAUGAGGUUGGCGCGUGUAUUGCACGCACCAAUACACGUGUAAAAAUGAUAUUUGGCGCGUGUAUUACACCGCUAGCCGUCAAAACUGGGUAUAGAGUUUCGAGGGGAAAUUAAAUCCACUUUAAAAAGUCUAGAGGGUAAUAAGACCCCUGCAAAGUUUAAUAUGUUUGAACUGAAAAUUCAAUCAAAGUUCAGAUAUUUUUGUGAGUAUUAUCCAUAUAUUUAUCCUUUGUUAUUUUGAUGAUGGGCUUAGUAUGACUAUGACAUUUGCAAUAUAUAUAGGGCAAAAUUCAGAAAUAACAUACAUAUCCCAUUAAUUAUGAGUUUUAUAGCAACAAUUUCAUAAUUACAUAAUAUAGCAAGUUGUAUUUUUGUAAAUUGUUGCUACAAAAAUACAAAUACAUAUGAUUUUUACUGUCCUUAUGAUCUAUAUGUAUUUUGUAUUUUUACAAACUGUUGCUGCAAAUACAUACAAAUACAAAAUAUAAUUUGAUAAAAGUGUUGUUAUUUUUUGUAAUUUAAUAAUAAUACUCAAUUAUCUCCUGAGCUAUAUCCAAAAAAGUUAUAACACACCUCAACUUAAAGGAGAUUCUAUUACCUCUGAACUAAUUAAAAAUGUAGUUUUAACACCCUUAGUACCUAUGUGGCACAAUACAUAGGCACUAAGGGUGUUAAAAUUACACUUUUAAUUAGUUCAGGAAUAAUAGGACCCUUUAAGUUGAGGUGUGUCAUGGUCUUUUUGGUAUAGUUUAGUGGGCUGAUUGGAUAUUUUUGCACUUAAAGUAUGCUGUAGUUUUUCCAUAAAGCGGUGGA